GUAUUAAAUUUCACGCUCCGUAUAGAAGCUCGAUAGACAUGCUUUCAAACGACAGGCAUAUAUUAAAAGGCGGUCUCCCACCUAAGGUGCACAGGGGAUGUGUGUAUACAUUCGUUUAUGAUCUCCCCGGAGGCAACAAUGCACCUCCGAGUGCCAAACAAACUGAGUAGAGUAGAGGCCCUUCUAUUUAAAAAGAGUACCUCGAUUGAUUUCAAUAAUGAUCCUUCCGCAGGUUCACCUACGGAAA
Molecule: unclassified non-coding RNA, 247 nt
Filed under: uncultured fungus
Lineage: Eukaryota; Fungi
Description: sequence contains ITS1
Source: RNAcentral